Cyclopterus lumpus (lumpfish) is the source of this 984-nucleotide long non-coding RNA. RefSeq lists it as uncharacterized. The record is from RefSeq and is a predicted model, not a curated record. The transcript has 4 exons. NCBI's taxonomy places the organism in Eukaryota, Metazoa, Chordata, Actinopteri, Perciformes, Cyclopteridae.
UUAAAAAUGUUAUCCAACAUAUUGUAGCGAAUGGUUAAAUGGAGACAUAGGAUGUUAUCUUUCAGAAAUGCACACAUUCAGCAACACACAGGAGCUCUCUCAAGCUGGGCACCAGUUCACUCACAGCACGAGACCUUCCUUGGGCUGAUAUGACCCUCUGCCUGCAACUUCCAUCUAUCCAAGGAUAGAUAAGUAUAUGGGUUAAAGAUAAGCUUGUUUAACCCAUCAAGGUUAGGCAUGUUAUGCGUUCUGAGAUGCUCUUCUAAAUAUCUCUUUUGUAACUCUGGCCUUUCUCCUCUGAAGUCUGCAUAACAAUGCAGUUUUCCCCGAGGCUACCUUAGCUGGAUGUUUGAUCUUUUUCCAAAACAUUCCGACGGCCACUUUUCUUCUGUGCCAGAUUCCAUCACUGUAAAAUUGCAAAAUAGGAACAUUGUGACCUACAUAUUUGCCACACCUAGUCAGCUCCAUACCCAUUUAAAGCAUCGCAGUGAGACAUCUAUCAGACAUCAGUCCCAGCAGAGAGACAGUGAGCUUCUUUCACCAUUUUGGCAACAUGGGCAAGCUCACUCUAACUGCAGGUCUCUGUGUGAUCAUCGCCAGCUUGGGUUUACCUGGCCUUGUGUCAUGAACUCCAUUAAUUGCUGGAAACCCCAGUACCAUUCAAGGAUACUGUCAUGGAAGAGUGGAUGGGCCCUACACUUACCCUGUUGACCAACAUUUUUAUUACAUCUGUGUAGCUGGAAUAACCUACGUCCAACCAUGCCCUCCAGGUUUGGUGUAUAAACCAUUGGAAAAUGCCUGUGACUAUGCUUAACCCUAGCAGUACACCUAAAGGAUACUGUCACGGUAGAAAAGAUGGGAACUAUCGCAACCCUGAUGACCGACAUUCAGGCCCGUAGAGAUCACCCCCGCAGCCCCCGCGGUGCGGGGGGGCCUCGCGUGGCAAUUUUUAAUUUUUAAUUUUAAUUUUUAUAUAUAUAUUUU